Molecule: ribosomal RNA, 32 nt
Filed under: Calamus hollrungii
Lineage: Eukaryota; Viridiplantae; Streptophyta; Magnoliopsida; Arecales; Arecaceae
Description: partial 26S ribosomal RNA
Source: RNAcentral
GCAACCCCAGGUCAGGCGGGCCACCUGCCGAG